Non-coding RNA from Geobacillus sp. B4113_201601, 180 nucleotides. Lineage: Bacteria; Bacillati; Bacillota; Bacilli; Caryophanales; Anoxybacillaceae. The record is from Rfam.
CAAUGGGAUAGAGGUUGCGGUGAACAAAAGUAGCGCUGCCGAGGCUCGGAGCGGCUGAUGACGCAGCGGGAAAGGGUUCACCGCCGAAGUUUGCGGCGCGCUCCGGCGCCGCAAGCUGGGACUGCGGCCGAACAGGCGCAGGACUGCCAUCGCCUACGGCGAUGGAGCGCUAUCGCCAUU